Molecule: unclassified non-coding RNA, 328 nt
Filed under: uncultured Mucor
Lineage: Eukaryota; Fungi; Mucoromycota; Mucoromycetes; Mucorales; Mucoraceae
Description: partial contains 5.8S ribosomal RNA, internal transcribed spacer 2, and large subunit ribosomal RNA
Rfam family: 5.8S ribosomal RNA (bases 1-101)
Source: RNAcentral
GUGCGAUAACUAGUGUGAAUUGCAUAUUCAGUGAAUCAUCGAGUCUUUGAACGCAACUUGCGCUCAUUGGUAUUCCAAUGAGCACGCCUGUUUCAGUAUCAAAACAAACCCUCUAUCCAACAUUUUUGUUGAAUAGGAAUAUUGAGAGUCUCUUGAUCUAUUCUGAUCUCGAACCUCUUGAAAUGUACAAAGGCCUGAUCUUGUUUGAAUGCCUGAACUUUUUUUUAAUAUAAAGAGAAGCUCUUGCGGUAAACUGUGCUGGGGCCUCCCAAAUAAUACUCUUUUUAAAUUUGAUCUGAAAUCAGGCGGGAUUACCCGCUGAACUUAA